Molecule: ribosomal RNA, 938 nt
Filed under: uncultured archaeon
Lineage: Archaea
Description: bacterial SSU rRNA
Rfam family: Archaeal small subunit ribosomal RNA
Source: RNAcentral
UUCCGGUUGAUCCUGCCGGACCCCACUGCUAUCGAGGUGGGACUAAGCCAUGCUAGUUGAGCGCACAGAACUAUGUCUGUGAGCGGCACACUGCUCAGUAACACGUAGCUAACCUACCUUAGGACGUGGACAACCCCGAGAAAUUGGGGCUAAUCCGCGAUAGAUGUAUUGUCCUGGAAUGGUAUUACGUCUAAAGGUAUCCCAUACAUGUUUGGUAUAUGCAUAAGGAUGGGGCUGCGGCCGAUCAGGCUGUUGGUGAGGUAAUGGCUCACCAAACCUUUGACCGGUACGGGCCAUGAGAGUGGUAGCCCGGAGAUGGACACUGAGACAAGGGUCCAGGCCCUACGGGGCGCAGCAGGCGCGAAACCUCCUCAAUGCACUUACGUGCGAAGGGGCUACCUCGAGUGCCACCUGAUGAAGGUGGCUUUUCCUAGGUCUACAAAGCCUUGGGAAUAAGAGGGGGGCAAGACUGGUGUCAGCCGCCGCGGUAACACCAGCCCCUCGAGUGGUGGGGAUGAUUAUUGGGCCUAAAGCGUCCGUAGCCUGCCGAAUAAGUUUUCCGUUAAAUCCAGCGUCUCAAGCGUUGGACUGCGGGAAAUACUGUACGGCUAGAGAGUGGGAGAGGUCAGCGGUAUUCUGGGGGUAGGGGCGAAAUCCUUUGAUCCCCGGAGGACCACCAGUGGCGAAGGCUGCUGUCUAGAACACGUCUGACGGUCAGGGACGAAAGCUGGGGUAGCGAACCGGAUUAGAUACCCGGGUAGUCCCAGCCGUAAACGAUGCAUGCUAGGUGUUGGGUUGGCCACGAGCCACCCCAGUGCCGCAGGGAAGCCGUUAAGCAUGCCGCCUGGGAAGUACGAUCGCAAGGUUGAAACUUAAAGGAAUUGGCGGGGGAGCACCACCAGGCGUGAAGCUUGCGGUUUAAUUGGAUUCAACGCCGG